Molecule: ribosomal RNA, 440 nt
Filed under: uncultured bacterium
Lineage: Bacteria
Description: partial 16S ribosomal RNA
Rfam family: Bacterial small subunit ribosomal RNA
Source: RNAcentral
CCUACGGGAGUCAGCAGUGGGGAAUAUUGCACAAUGGGGGGAACCCUGAUGCAGCGACGCCGCGUGAGUGAAGAAGUAUUUCGGUAUGUAAAGCUCUAUCAGCAGGGAAGACAGUGACGGUACCUGACCAAGAAGCCCCGGCUAACUACGUGCCAGCAGCCGCGGUAAUACGUAGGGGGCAAGCGUUAUACGGAUUUACUGGGUGUGAAGGGAGCGUAGACGGCAGUGCAAGUCUGAAGUGAAAGCCCGGGGCCCAACGCCGGGAAUGCUUUGGAAACUGCGUGGCUCGAGUGCUGGAGAGGUAAGCGGAAGUCCUAGUGUAGCGGUGAAAUGCGUAGAUAUUAGGAGGAACACCAGUGGCGAAGGCGGCUUACUGGACAGGAACUGACGUUGAGGCACGAAAGCGUGGGGAGCAAACAGGAUUAGAUACCCGAGUAGUC